ACGACGCUACGCAGGCUAAUACACUGCAAGUCGAACGGUGCCUUCGGGCAUAGUGGCGCACGGGUGCGUAACACGUAUGCAACCUACCUUACAUUGGGGGAUAGCCUUUCGAAAGGGAGAUUAAUACCGCAUAACACAGUGAGUUGGCAUCAGCUUAUUGUUAAAGAUUUAUCGAUGUAAGAUGGGCAUGCGUCCAAUUAGUUAGUUGGCGAGGUAACGGCUCACCAAGACGAUGAUUGGUAGGGGAACUGAGAGGUCAAUCCCCCACACUGGCACUGAGAUACGGGCCAGACUCCUACGGGAGGCAGCAGUAGGGAAUAUUGGGCAAUGGACGCAAGUCUGACCCAGCCAUGCCGCGUGCAGGAAGACGGCCCUCUGGGUUGUAAACUGCUUUUAUAUAGGAAGAAAGAAUCCUUGCGAGGAUAGUUGACGGUACUAUAAGAAUAAGCACCGGCUAACUCCGUGCCAGCAGCCGCGGUAAUACGGAGGGUGCAAGCGUUGUCCGGAUUUAUUGG
RNAcentral lists this ribosomal RNA (515 nucleotides) under uncultured Cytophagales bacterium. RNAcentral's name for it is "bacterial SSU rRNA". It matches the Rfam family "Bacterial small subunit ribosomal RNA", at positions 29 to 557 of the family's 1533-position model. Lineage: Bacteria; Pseudomonadati; Bacteroidota; Sphingobacteriia; Sphingobacteriales. The record is from RNAcentral.